This 301-nucleotide ribosomal RNA is filed under the name uncultured bacterium. RNAcentral describes it as "partial 16S ribosomal RNA". It matches the Rfam family "Bacterial small subunit ribosomal RNA", at positions 509 to 808 of the family's 1533-position model. The record is from RNAcentral.
CAGUAGCCGCGGUAAUACGUAGGUGGCAAGCGUUGUCCGGAAUUAUUGGGCGUAAAGCGCGCGCAGGCGGAUAGGUCAGUCUGUCUUAAAAGUUCGGGGCUUAACCCCGUGAUGGGAUGGAAACUGCCAAUCUAGAGUAUCGGAGAGGAAAGUGGAAUUCCUAGUGUAGCGGUGAAAUGCGUAGAUAUUAGGAAGAACACCAGUAGCGAAGGCGACUUUCUGGACGAAAACUGACGCUGAGGCGCGAAAGCCAAGGGAGCGAACGGGAUUAGAUACCCCAGUAGUCCCUGUCUCUUAUACC